Populus trichocarpa (black cottonwood) is the source of this 2080-nucleotide RNA transcript. It is a transcript of the gene named vacuolar-processing enzyme, with no coding region annotated. The transcript has 11 exons. Lineage: Eukaryota; Viridiplantae; Streptophyta; Magnoliopsida; Malpighiales; Salicaceae. The record is from RefSeq and is a predicted model, not a curated record.
CCCUUCUCCUUUAAAGUUUAAACAAUUAAUUAACACAGCUCCAAAACACGAAAACAACACAGCACAGCCCACUUGCAUAUAAACCUUAGCAUUUUGGGACCCCCUGCAGGUCUUUCAUCAUUGCCCUAACGUGUCAGCCCCUUACUUUGCAUGGCAUCUCGAAUUCUCUCUUUAUAAACACCUUCACCGAUUCUCUGCAAACCACCUAGCUCUUCCUAAUUUUCUCUCCAGGUUCUGUUUUUCCUUGACCAGUUAUUGUUUUUUACCAUUGCUGCUAGUUUGAUCAUUUCCAGGAAAGGUCAACUCUCCGAUGGAGACCCAUAAGCCCUAUUUUCUGUCCGCUAUUUUCGUACUUGUGAUGCUGUCUUUUCUACAUGAACAAAGUAGCCAGGCCGCUCGGUUAAACCCGGUUGAAGCGGGAAUUCUUAUGCCAACAGAGAAAGAUGGACCGGAAGUUGAUGAUGAUGAUGGUAAGGAAAUUGGCACGAGAUGGGCAGUUCUUGUGGCCGGUUCAAAUGGUUAUGGAAAUUACAGGCAUCAGGCGGAUGUCUGCCAUGCGUAUCAACUACUAAGAAAAGGUGGGAUAAAGGAAGAGAACAUAGUAGUGUUUAUGUAUGAUGAUAUAGCUAAGCAUGAGUUCAACCCAAGACCUGGAGUUAUCAUCAACCAUCCUCAAGGAGAUGAUGUUUAUGCCGGUGUGCCUAAGGAUUACACCGGCGUACAGGUCACCACUGAGAAUCUGUAUGCAGUACUUCUUGGUAACAAGAGUGCUGUCAAAGGUGGAAGUGGCAAGGUUGUGGAUAGCAUGCCCAAUGACAGGAUCUUCUUGUACUAUUCUGAUCACGGAGGUCCUGGAGUUCUUGGGAUGCCAACUAUGCCUUUUCUAUAUGCAAUGGAUUUCAUUGAGGUUUUAAAGAAGAAACAUGCAUCUGGGAGUUACAAAGAAAUGGUCAUGUAUAUAGAAGCUUGUGAGAGUGGGAGCAUCUUCGAAGGGAUCAUGCCCAAGGACAUAAACAUUUACGUGACAACAGCAUCAAAUGCGGAAGAGAAUAGCUGGGGAACUUAUUGUCCUGGGAUGGAGCCAGCUCCACCUCCAGAGUAUUUCACUUGCUUAGGGGACUUGUACAGUGUUUCUUGGAUGGAAGAUAGUGGAAAACACAAUCUCAGAAGAGAAACAAUAGAGCAACAAUAUCAUUCGGUGAAGGAGAGGACUUCCAAUUACAAUACGUUCACUUCCGGAUCCCAUGUGAUGCAAUAUGGGAACAAAAGCAUCAAAGGAGAGAAGCUUUAUUUGUACCAAGGUUUCAAUCCUGCUAGUGUAAACUUCCCUCCAAACAAUGUCCACAUUGGUGGGCGUAUGGAUGUUGUUAACCAGAGAGACGCAGAGCUUGUUUUCCUCUGGCAAAUGUACAAAAGAUCCGAGGAUGGUUCAGAAAAGAAGACACAAAUCCUCAAUCAGAUUAAAGAGACUAUGAGGCAUAGAACUCAGUUGGACAGCAGCAUGGAAUUGAUUGGAACACUAUUAUUUGGACAUAAAAAAGGUUCCGCCAUACUUAAAUCUGUUAGGGAACCCGGUUCUCCCCUAGUAGAUGACUGGACAUGCUUAAAAUCGAUGGUUCGACGGUUUGAAACACACUGUGGAUCAUUGACGCAGUAUGGCAUGAAACACAUGCGAGCAUUUGCUAACAUUUGCAAUGGUGGUGUCUCUCAAGCCUCCAUGGAGGAAGCUUGUAUCGCGGCAUGUAGCGGCCACGAAUUCGGGGACUUGCGUCCUUCAGACCAAGGUUACAGUGCUUGAAGUACUGUAGAAGGAGCUCGAGCAUGUUAGAUUAAAUAUGUUACUGCGCAUAGCACUUGAGGUCCCUAGCGGAUGUUCAGUAGACCGUGGGAUUAGUCGUGGUGCGUGCAAACUGGGGUGUUCUAAGUUGGUAGUAUUUGUUACUACAGGUCAUACAAAUUUCCAACUCAUCUACGUAUGUGGCUGGUGUGCCUUGUUUCCCAUAAAACUGUACUCGAGAUCUGUAUCCGGACUCGUCUUUGAGAUUAUUUUUCUAAGCCAUAUACACUCCGUUAGUUGUAA